UGGGAACCUCCAUAUGCCAUGGGUGUGGCCCUAGAAAAGAUGACAAAAAAGGGGGGUGGGGGCAAAGAAUCACAGUGCCUGCUAGGCUUGUUGGGAUUCUAGAGGUCACUCCCCAAAUCUAGGUAUAUUGUCCCAACUUGUAUACUGGGUGACAUGACAGAGGCCACCAGCUUUGUGUAGAGCUGAGAGCAGGAAUGGGCUUUGAAGCAGGUCUGAGCUGUGGGACAAGCAUUCCUGACACUUGGGCCAUAGAGUCAACCUAGACCCUAGCGCGUUGGAGAUAUGAAUGGGAGUAUUGCGGAGCUCAUGUUAAAUCAUGAGACCGUCCCACUGUAGGUUCCCAUGGUUCUAAACCAAAGCAUGUCAUCUGCUUACAGCACCACAGAAAAUUGUCCCAAGUAAGCCAAGUAAUAGCCUGUUCUAUGUACAGCUGUGGCACCAGCUCAGGGAAUGCCCUCUAAGGGUGGGUGCCAUCCUUCAGGAUUCAGAAUGUACACUAUUUUGUAGAAGAGCUCUAUUCUGUCUCAAUAAGAAGAACCCAUAAGUCCAGAAACCUCCAGGGUCAGAAGUAGGCAUGACCUCACUCUCUUUCCUAGGGACUCAAGGGGAAGGGUACAGGUCUAAUUUAAGAAAUCAGAAGGCUUAUGCCACCUAGUAGCAAAAAUGUCUACCCUAUCUGACCCAUGGAAGAAUGCCAAUCUGUCCCAUAAAUGGAAAUCUGCUGGGUGUAAUGUAGCAUUGGAAGAAUGUAUAACGGUGUUCUUAGAGGAGAACAGGAGAGGUGCUUCCAUUUACUAAGAGUUGUCUUCUCGGGCAUCCCAGCACUCGGAUGCUUUCCUGUGGUGUCUCUUCAUAGACAGAAGCAUCAAGGGUGCAAGUUGCCAGUGAGUAGAUUUCGUCUCCUGAUGACAUACCCAAGGAAGUGUUACUUAAGGGACGUUCUUUCCUGUAGCUCACCAGUACUGACAGUGGCAGAGCCCACAGAGAAGGACAUGUGCCUCAGAACACCCACACGGCUCAGCAGAGGGCAGAGUCCUCCGUGAUCACUGACAGAAGACCCUUUGGGGGAGCAUGUGUUCAAUGACUGUCCUGCUACCGGUGGAGGGCAGGGCUUCCCGACACUUGCCCUGGAACACUUUCCUCCAGGUCCUGGAACAAUCCACAUACCAGGCACCCUGACCUUGGACAAGGAGAGUGCUACAAACAAGAUUCUCAGGGUCAAAGACCUCCGGACAGAGACCAGCGGACGUUGGUUCCGAGACACUGCUCAGAGGAAAUAAAAACGGAGACUAGGAGGAACACGGGAUUGGGGAGCAGUGAAAAUACUGUGUACGCCAGUGAUAGGUCUAGCUGCAAUGCAGAUCUGACCAUUCUAAUCAACCACACGGGGAACUCCAGGUUGUGAACUGCCACAGAGAAAUCCUGUGGUGAGUAAAGCUGCUCAUUCAUUGGCAGAGGCUGCCCAGGAAGAGCAGACCCUCAACUCAGAAGCUGAGAUGAGGUCUGAAAAAACACCGACCACUGGAGGUUGUCAGACAAGUCGUCCUUGAAAGUGAAUAUCCUUAAGACCCAAGGCACAUACUUCUCCGCAUGUGUAGGGAAGCAGCUUCCCUAGCCUCUGGUGGGCAGACUUUAGAGGUUGGAGGAGGGACCUAGACCUUGUCGCUGCAGUUGGUUUUGAGCUACAACUGACCUUAUAUUCCUGCUUCUCUUCUGCCCAUCCUAAAUUCUCUCCUCAGCUAACGCCUCUCCUGGUCUUAGUGACUUAGUCAAUGGUGUGACUCUGUCAUUCCUGAGGGGGUCUGAAUCUCUGAUGACUAUCCCUUCUCAGCCUGGUGUUGCUCUCCUUGUCCAUGCACUUUUGGGUAAAAGAGGACCAAGAUAUGUCCAGGGUGACCACUCGGUGCCGUCCGUCCUCCACUCUGCUGCCUUGUCACAGAAACCCUAUAUCGCUCGGAGCCGGUAUUCUUACCAAGAUGGUGACCUGUUCCUGGACGCAGGAAGUCCCAAAGUACCCAGAAAACAUCUAUAACUCGGGGGGGUGUCAAAAGAACCUUUUGGCAGCAGUGUGCUCUGAGGAUCAGAAUUCUGUGCAUCCUGCCCCUUCAACAUUUGGCUCCGUGGGGUUAGACUGGGUUCUCCAGUGGGUCAUUGGGAAUUAAGGCAAAUUGGGGUCUCUCCUUGUUCCUGAAACCCUGUGUUCCUCCUGGGAACAUAGCAUCAUAGAGGCAUCUGUUUCACUGCAUAUAUAGCAUCCUGUAGUGCCCUUCCUGGCAGGGGACCACCUCUGCUCUGGCUCUAUAGCUGUGCCUUUAGGAGGCUGUGCCAUAGCUAACAGGUAGAGCCUGCUCUGAAAGGUGCAGUAUCUGAUGCAACCACUGGAUCUCAGGUCUCACCUUCAUCUUCAUUGUAAGGUGGCUCCUCUAGUCAUGCUGUGAUAUAUCAGCUCAUACCAUGAGCCAGGCAUUAACUCCCUCCAAAAGUGACUCCUGCUUGAGGUUCUGAGAGUAGAAGGGGAAGUCCACAUCUGGAAUAUAGGCCCAUCGACAUGAGACUGAGUCACUAGCUCCUCCAGGAAGGAAAGAACCCACCUAAUAGUGUAUGACACCAACUGGGCAGGCUGUCUUGCUGAGGGACGGUGCCAUGUCUGGGGCUCAAGACUGGUCUCCACUGCUCGCAGGGUGGACAAUCAGCAGGAACUAGUUGGCCUGGAUGGGUGGGCUGCCCUGCCCCUGGGCCCUUUAGUAGCCUCUAUCCCUGCCCCAUAACCUCUGUUCAUGUGUCCACUGCACCAUGUCUCCUGUGACGGCUGAAUAAAAACCAGUUAACAUGUAUUUAACAAAUCUGAGAUGUAACUCACUCAGACCAUGAGAUCCACCCCUUUAAAGUAUGCAAUUGAAGGAUUUUGUCUAUUGACAGUUACGUAACCACUCCCACCAAUGUACAAUCAUUACCCCAAAGAGAAAUUCUGUACCCAUUAGCAGUCGCUGCUUAUCCCCCAAGCCCCCCACGCCCCCCACUAUCUCUAGGCAAAGACUAAAGCUAUCUAUUCUUGACCAUCAUGAGACCAGAUGGUCAUGUGACUAGAAACUGUACUACUGGCCUUGUGUGUCUCGGUUCUUUCCCUGGGACAUUCUCAACGUUCAUCCGUGUUGUAGCAAGUGUCACUACCUUAUGCCUUCACAUCAAGGACUGGCUGGAGCUGCUUUCUCUACGGGUGGUUCAGCGGCUCCGCCACAGUGGACAUGAACACGAGAGGCAGAGAAUCAUUAUCGUCUGUAAUCUAUAUGCACUCCUAUACGUUGAUAUGGAAACCGGAUCAGGCAGGAAUCAUGGCUGCAUUGAUAGCAACUGAAUUGUCGCCUGUGGGUCCAUCCGUGCUCUCUAAUGAGGGACAACAUCGGGUCGGCGUUCUGUGUGUGUGUGUGUGUAACAUAUACACACAGCUGCCUACCCUGGAGGCUCUGGCUUCUGGAGGAAGUGCCACCACCGGCCUUUGUUGCUUUUGGGGUUGAUCAGUCCCACUGAGGAACCUCCAGGGUCAACAGCCCUGGUCUGCAAAGGCGCCUCUCUCACGGAGCAUCCCCAGUGGCCUUCCUGAAAGACAAGACCUCUGACACACAAGCCCUCUGGGCUAUCCUGGCCUCACAUGUACCGACUCCCCUCACAGUCCCUCCUUCUGCCACCUCCUGCAGCAACCCAGGAAUCUCAUCUCUGCUCUUUCCAGCCUUUUAUGCAAGAAGUGUGUCCCAUCCCCUGGGGCCCUUGCCCAGGGUUAAAUCCCUCACCCUGAAGGAGGCCCCAGCACCCUUAAACUCCCUUAUCCAGACUGACUCUGGGUCCCUUGAUCAGACACCUUAAAUCCCAGUUCCAUGACUGUUUUCUCAGCUCCUGCCACUCACGCUGACCCUUGCUCAUCUGGAGUCUGGUUCCUAUCCUGUUCCCUGGCCCAGCACAUUCAUGGCUAAGCUACACUAUAACCCUAGUUAUCUGCUUGGCAGACGGGAGAGGAAGUGGCACCUAUUGGGUCCCAUGUUUCUUGCAGAGAAGUGUUUCAUAUCUUCUGAUGUGUGAGCUGUAGGGCACUGAAGGGAGUGUCAGCUGAUACGGGAACUCCUCCUUAGGCUCUGAGGGCUCAGGAGGGUCGAGGGAGCCAACAUCAAGGGCGGCAUCUACCAGAUAUCCUCGUGCUACAUUUGACAAAGACCUGCCUCUGUUGAGCACUCACAGGGCUCCACAGCUUAUCAGAUCUUGCUACCAAGAUCGGUCGGUCUUCAGCUUUCUUUCUCCUCUCCCACUGUAGGAAAUAAGGUCCUCUUUGUGAAGCACUAAAGAGACACUGGCCUUCACACGUGGUUUAACUGCCCUCAGCCCUUCCGUUCCUAGUAGAACACCCAGUGGAGUCUGCGAUCUUCAUGUGCUGGCCCCUCCCACACCCCCACUGUACUUCCCAAGUCCCUGCACCAGCCAGGAGGUCCCUUCCACAGGGACCUCCUCCCAAGUCACAACCAAUGAAGGUUUUAGGAACAGAGCACUGCCUUAUGCCCUGGACUGCCCAUGUCUCCUUCCAACUUGGAAUAAUUUCCUGUUCCCUGACGGGCACCGAGUGAUCUGGUCCCCAGACCCCUUCCUUCCUGCUACUUUCUUAGACACAGUUGAUACCAAGAUGGUCUGUUAGGUCUUCCAGAAAGCAGAUGUCGUGAUGGAGUUAGGUAUGGAAGAGGCUUGUUGGCUUAACACCUAUAAGCGAGAGAAAAAAAAGGCAGGAGUGGACAGGGAGGGCUUCAGAGGCAACGCAGGUAUGACAAAGUCUCAGAUGAUCCAGGUUGGAGCUCAAGAACAAGGAUUGCCCCAUACAGAAGUCUUCUGUGUGGCAGAAGAGGUCAGGCCUUAGCACCCCAUCAUGUGUGGUCAUUGGGAAUAACAUGGCCUCAGCUCAAAAGCUACAGCAUAUCCUAAAGGCCCUAUAUUCAUAACUGAGUGCCAAGUUCAUUCUUGACUCGCCCUUGAAGGGCGGUCUAAGCAUCACACCUCCGUCUGCAGGCAAGUUGUGGUUCAUGUCAAUUCUGGUACAAGAAUGUUGCUGGUUAGAGACCUGUGACCUUCAUGUGCCCAAGGUUGCAGGGCAUGCGGUAAGACACUGCAUGGGCUGGGGAGGUGGUCGAAGUCUGUCAUAGGCUCUUAUGUACCCAACACUUGGAGGAAUCUGUGCUCUCCACAUUAAGAGCUGGUUUCUCUACAUGCUGCAACAAGUGGAAUCUUGUUCCUUAUAGUUUCGAACUAUGGUUAGGGGUCCCUAACCAUGUGUGGUCCACCUUAAUUCACUCAUGGUUGCGUUUUAUGGUAUGUGUUUGAGGAUGUUGGGGUAUCAUUGGUGUCCUAACCGCUAGGGUGUAGCCCACCACACUUACCUGCAGCUCAAGUCCUCUUCUGCCACCAGAUUCUGUUAGAAGUGGACCAAUGCCUCCCUCUGCUGUCAUCUUGGAGGCUAUAGGCACCUCAGAGAGGACACAGCCAAGCCCCCAGGGAAGCCCACAUCUUAGAAAAAAUUGUUCACAAGUUAGCAACUUGUCCUCUGGAAGAUGAUCCAUUCCCAACUCGGGCCUCAGACACUGGGCAUGUUGUGACAUGAAUCAGAGGUGACUGGCUGUGCAGAAAAUGGUUCUAAAAGUCCAGUCCACCGAGGAAGCUGCUGGGCUGAAGCAUCUCCAAAUGCUGCAAGAAAGGAGCAAAGAUCUUUUCUCUGUCACUGGCCGUCCUGUGGUCCCAUAGUCCUGCUCACGUCCUGUUCUCUGGGGACCCUGGACCCAUGUUACCAUGUUGUCACCAGAACUCGUUUGGCCUCUGAUGUCAAACAUGAAACCAAGUUUUUGCCACACACUUCCCACCCCCACCCACCACAUUUGUAUUUGAUGGCGGCUUUUGAGCAAGAGGUGCUUCCCCCCCACCCUAUGUCAUAACAACCACCAAGCUGGAUUCCUUCUCAGCUGGAACCUUCUCCCAAAAUAAAUCAAACGGGGUCUGUGACCUCCACUACUUUAGGUCUCCUUCAAGGAUAAAAGGUCACCCUGACAGAAGCUUGAUUUGCUGCUCCAAAGCAAAAAGUGGAAAUUCUACCUCCGAUGCCAACCGAUGUCCGGAGAUGAAAAGGCUUCUGGAGUUUCUGAUUAAAGGUCUUUGUCCUGCAGGCCUGUGGAGGAACCUGUUUUAGGUCCUAAACAGCACUAAGUGUGCCCAGGAGUUUGUGCGGUGUCCUUGGUGGAUGCCGACACAGGGCAUUCAGAUUCAGUUAUGCUGGGCCUCUGAUUCAGGCAUGGUAGGAAAGAGGCCUGGCGGUGUUUCUGGCCACAAAUCAUUUUCUCGCAGUCACACACUGCAAGGUGGUCUGGUGAAACCAGGAGCAGCCCCCCAGCUCUAAUUGUGCCAUGGCCAAGGUUCCUUUCUGGGGUACAGCAACCACCGGCCUGGACGGUGGGAAGGAGGCCACAAGGAAAACCCUGCCAGGUGAGGCGGUGGCUCAGGCUGACGUGUGCAGAGGCGAGCUUGUGUGCGUGGUGGGAAAAGGCCAGGAGUACUGAUGCAGGGGCAGAAAUCCAUGCCUACGUGAGGUAUGCCUCUGCCAGCUUCCAGAAUGGGAGGCCUUCUCUACCAGUGUGCCCUGGGCACGGCCUUGGCUGCUCCUAGAACAACCUUCCCGCCUAGCCCAGCUUCUCCAACUAAAAUGCUGUAAAAGCGCCUGUGUCAGGCAAAGUAGCUCAUCAGAUGGGGCAAGCAGCUCUGAGGAGAGAAGGCUGGUGUCCACGAAUCACAACAGAGUUCCUGAAAAACUGCCCCCACCCCAAGGGGCGCUGCUUUACCCGAUCCUCCACUAGAUCACACCACUCUGGGGCUAUAUCUGGCCACUGCCCUGGAGGUGGAGUGGACAGGGCAGUCUGGUCUGGAGGGAAGAAUCACCCUUGGGCACUUGGGAAGUCACAGACUCCUUGAGUUCAGGCUAACCUGACCUCUAGGCUUUGUUUCUUCUUUCAUCUCCCAUGUAUGUGGAUACCAAGUAGGGAGGGGACCCCAGGAUGCUUCUGAGCUUUGAAAGGCUGGUUGUCUCUUCCUAUAAGGCCCUGAAUUUGGCACUAACCUUCUUUCCUGAUGGAAGCUGCCGGGGAAAAAUGAUAGUCACAAAGAGACCAAGUGGAAGACAAACUCACGCUUUCUCUUUUAAUCACAUCCCACCUGCUUUCAGUUUCUGAUGGGUUCCUUUGUGCUGAUGUGGGUGUAGGAGAGGAAUGUGUCCUUUGUAAUAUAAAAGAGCAAGUGAUAUCCCAUUUAUUUAAAAUUGCUGUUUUAUUUAACAGUAUUUGAAGUUAUAAUUCCAGAUACAGCUAUUAUAUCAUCGGCUAUAAGAACUCCUAUUUCAAAUACAUAAAAUGCUUAAUAAAAACAGAACAUAAAGC
This is a non-coding RNA of Sus scrofa (pig), 7448 nucleotides long. The record is from RefSeq and is a predicted model, not a curated record. Lineage: Eukaryota; Metazoa; Chordata; Mammalia; Artiodactyla; Suidae.